AAAGAUAUCUGGUUGAUCCUGCCUGAACUGAUGUGUUCAUUUCAAAGAUUAAGCCAUGCAUGUAUAAGUUUAAUCGUUUUAACGAGAAACCGCGAACGGCUCAUUACAAUGGCCAUGAUUUACUUGAUCUUGAUUAUCUAAAUGGAUAACUGUGGAAAAGCUAGAGCUAAUACAUGCACCAGAGCUUUGUCCUCUCGGAAAAGCGCAUUUAUUAGAACAAAACCACGCGGCUUCGGCUGCUUCUUGUUGACUCAGAAUAACUAAGCUGACCGCAUGGCCUUGUGCCGGCGGCGUGUCUUUCAAGCGUCCACUUUAUCAACUUGACGGGAGCAUAAUCGACUCCCGUGGUGGUGACGGAUAACGGAGGAUCAGGGUUCGACUCCGGAGAAGGGGCCUGAGAAAUGGCCACUACGUCUAAGGAUGGCAGCAGGCGCGCAAAUUACCCACUCUCGGCUCGAGGAGGUAGUGACGAGAAAUAACGAGACUGUUCUCUUUGAGGCCGGUCAUCGGAAUGGGUACAAUUUAAACCCUUUAACGAGUAUCAAGCAGAGGGCAAGUCUGGUGCCAGCAGCCGCGGUAAUUCCAGCUCUGCUAAUACAUAGAAUUAUUGCUGCGGUUAAAAAGCUCGUAGUUGGAUUCGUAUCGGUACCUUGGAACCCUUCGGGUGUUUCUGGGUGUUAUCGAUUUAUCGUAAUGUUCGGUUUUGAGUCCUUAACAGGAUUUUUAACAGUCAUUGCAAGUUUACUUUGAACAAAUCAGAGUGCUUCAAACAGGCGUUUUCGCUUGAAUGAUCGUGCAUGGAAUAAUAGAAAACGAUUUCGGUUCAGUUUUAUUGGUUUUACGGACUGAGAUAAUGGUUAACAGAGACAAACGGGGGCAUUUGUAUGGCCCCGUGAGAGGUGAAAUUCUUGGACCGUGGCCAGACAAACUACAGCGAAAGCAUUUGCCAAGAAUGUCUUCAUUAAUCAAGAACGAAAGUCAGAGGUUCGAAGGCGAUCAGAUACCGCCCUAGUUCUGACCGUAAACGAUGCCAACUAGCGAUCCGCUGAUGGAAAUUAUAUUGCCUUGGUGGGGAGCUUCCCGGAAACGAAAGUCUUCCGGUUCCGGGGGAAGUAUGGUUGCAAAGCUGAAACUUAAAGGAAUUGACGGAAGGGCACCACCAGGAGUGGAGCCUGCGGCUUAAUUUGACUCAACACGGGGAAACUCACCCGGCCCGGACACUGUGAGGAUUGACAGAUUGAUAGCUUUUUCAUGAUUCAGUGGAUGGUGGUGCAUGGCCGUUCUUAGUUCGUGGAGUGAUUUGUCUGGUUUAUUCCGAUAACGAGCGAGACUCUAACCUACUAAAUAGUUGGUACAUACUCUUUGUGUAUACAGCUUCUUAGAGGGAUUUGCGGCGUUCAGCCGAAAGAAAUUGAGCAAUAACAGGUCUGUGAUGCCCUUAGAUGUCCGGGGCUGCACGCGCGCUACACUGGCAAAAUCAACGUGCUUGUCCUACCCUGAAAGGGGCGGGUAAACCAUUGAAAAUUUGCCGUGAUUGGGAUCGGAAAUUGCAAUUAUUUUCCGUGAACGAGGAAUUCCAAGUAAGUGCGAGUCAUCAGCUCGCGUUGAUUACGUCCCUGCCCUUUGUACACACCGCCCGUCGCUGCCCGGGACUGAGCCAUUUCGAGAAAUUUGGGGACCGUUGAUUUAAUUUAUCUAAAUUAUUUUGAUGGAAACCAAUUUAAUCGCAGUGGCUUGAACCGGGCAAAAGUCGUAACAAGGUAGCUGUAGGUGAACCUGCUGCUGGAUCAUUACUUUA
Meloidogyne enterolobii is the source of this 1798-nucleotide non-coding RNA. Lineage: Eukaryota; Metazoa; Nematoda; Chromadorea; Rhabditida; Meloidogynidae. The record is from the annotation of a GenBank genome assembly.